RNAcentral lists this ribosomal RNA (443 nucleotides) under uncultured Pseudoxanthobacter sp. Its description in RNAcentral is "partial 16S ribosomal RNA". It matches the Rfam family "Bacterial small subunit ribosomal RNA", at positions 327 to 793 of the family's 1533-position model. Lineage: Bacteria; Pseudomonadati; Pseudomonadota; Alphaproteobacteria; Hyphomicrobiales; Segnochrobactraceae. The record is from RNAcentral.
AGAGCGGGACCCCUGGGGGGGAAUAUUCGGACGAUGGGCGCAAGCCUGAUCCAGCCAUGCCGCGUGAGUGAUGAAGGCCUUUGGGUUGUAAAGCUCUUUUUUCGGGGAAGAUAAUGACGGUACCCGAAGAAGAAGCCCCGGCUAACUUCGUGCCAGCAGCCGCGGUAAUACGAAGGGGGCUAGCGUUGUUCGGAAUUACUGGGCGUAAAGCGCACGUAGGCGGAUGAUAAAGUCAGGGGUGAAAGCCCGGAGCUAAACUUCGGAACUGCCUUUGAAACUGGUAAGCUAAAGUUCGGAAGAGGGGGGUGGAAUUCCGAGUGUAAAGGUGAAAUUCAUAGAUAUUCGGAAGAACACCAUUGGCGAAGGCGGCUACCCUGGUCCGAUAAUUACCGCUUGAGGUCCGAAAGCGUGGGGGAGCAAUCAGGGAUUAAAUACCCUGGGAG